Felis catus (domestic cat) is the source of this 2243-nucleotide long non-coding RNA. RefSeq lists it as uncharacterized. The transcript has 2 exons. Lineage: Eukaryota; Metazoa; Chordata; Mammalia; Carnivora; Felidae. The record is from RefSeq and is a predicted model, not a curated record.
UCUCUCUCUGUCAAAAAUAAACAUUAAAAAAAAUUAAAUUCAUUUUCUAAUAGAUGUUUCUGGUAUCUAAGUACAAUUGAUUUUUGUAUAUUGUUCUUGACCUUUUCAAAUUCACUUAAUUGUUCUAACAAGUGGUUUGUAUGCUCUUUUAGAUUUUCUGCAUAUAUAAUUAUGUCACAUGCAGAUAAAGACAAUUUGAUUUCCUGCUUUCAUCUAUUUAUCUAUCUAAUAUAUAUCAAUUAGUUCCUCUAAGAUGACAAUGUAUAGAAUAGAUGAGGGCCUACACACACACACACACACACACUCACACUGUAUGAAUACUAUUUGCUUAUUGAAGAAGUUUUUUUCUAUUAUGAGUGGAAUGAAUAUUUUUUAAUUUUUUUCAAAUGUCAUUGAACAUGUUUUGAAGUCCACAGAGAAAAUUAUAUAGUUUUUUACUUAAUGCUUUUAAUUGGAAUGAUAGAUAUAUAUAUUUUUUAAUUAAUUUAUUUUGAGAGAAAGAGAGAGAAAGAGCAUGGAUGAGAGACAGAGAGAGGGAAAGAGAGAAUCCCAAGCAGGGCUCCACCCUAUGAACUGUGAGUUCAUGACCUGAGCCAAGACAAAGAGCUGGAAGUUCAACCAACUGAGCUACCCAGGCACCUCUGUAAUGAUAGAUUUUUGAAUGUUUUGCUGUAUCUGGAUUAGCAAGAGGCAAAAAAGGAAACCUGGACCUUCCUUCUCUGCACAGAAAUGCUGAUUCAACAACAUGGACCAAUUUCUUUUGUUAGAAAUCCAGAAACCUGUUGAAAGGCUCUUGCCACUGAGAUGAUAGGGACAAAAGCCAAAAUGAAUAAAAUGACACCUUACUCAUAAUCUCUUCCCUCUACUCCGUGCCACACAAUCAUGAGAAAAACCAGAACUCCCAACUUCUCCCUAAGAAGGGAAGGAGAGGACUGGACCAUAUGUCCAAAGUUCAGACUAUUUAGGGGGCUGCCCAAGGUACCAAUUACUGUACUGAGUAUGAGCACUGAUUGGAAAAGGGCCCAGGUCUGGGAACACUGAGAAUAUAGUCCGCGGUUUGAACUAGCACGCUCUACUAGCCAAAGUGCUUCCCCUGGUUCAGCACUGAGCAAGGGAGAACACCCAAAUCUUUCCUCCCUGGGAAGGGAAAGAGUCGAAGCAUGCAAGAGGGAAAGAGAAAAAUAAAACAUAUAUCUAACAUUCAGACUUUUCAGGGAGCUCCCCAAGGGACUGGUUUUUGUCUUGCCUGUCUCUAAGUACGGACAGGAUAUAGUACACUCUGGAUGCCUGGGGACCAGCAUAUGCUGCUUCUUCACAGGAACUACAAGAUAACAGACACCAGAGGGAGCAAGAUAUCAUAAACUCCUGAAAAAAUAAACCAACAAAUUCUUAUAAUUAUGAAUUUACAUGGACAAGUUUGGAGAAAAGACACAUCCACCAAAAACUUUUGAGAAGCCCACCAGAAUCUCUAGCUAGGGUAAUUGGUGAAGGUCUUCCCGUGUAUGAAGCCAGUCCAUAGAAACUAAGAAAAAGCGCUGUUUUUUCAAAUAUGCAGAUACCCACACUGUUGAGGGCAUUAAACACACACACACACAUACACAGGAAACAAAAGAAAACACCAAAAGAAAAAGGGGAUUCAUUACCUAAUAAAGAAUUCAAAUUAUGAUCAUAAAGAUAAUUAGUAAGUUCCGGAAAACAAUUUAUGAAUAAGUUAGAAAUUUCCAAAUAAAGAUAGAAAAAAAUACAGAAAUUUUGGAGCUGAAAACUAAAAUAGCCAGACUGAAUAAUUCACUAGAAAAGUGUAAUAAUAGACUUUAUCAACUAGAAGAGAGAGUCAGCAAACUUGAAGACAGGAAGAACAUUUGAAAUUAUCCUAUCACAGAAGCAAAAACAAAAAAAAGAAUGAAAAGGUGUGAAGAAAGCCUAAGGGACUUCUGUGUCUUCAUCAAAUAAAUCAAUACAUGCACUAUAGGAGUCCUAAGAGGGAAAGAGAGAGACAGAAAGGACAAGAGAGCUUAUUGAGAAAAAUAAUGACCAAUGCCUUUUCUCUAUUAAUAUGGUCGAUCAUGUGUUGUAUUUCUUUCAUUUUGUUAAUGUGUUGUAUAACAUCAAUUAAUUUGCAUACAUUGAAACAUCUUUGUUCGAAGGAGUAAGUUCCACUCAGACAUGGUGUAUAAUCCUUUUAAUGUGCUGAUGAAUUCAAUUUACUACCAUUUUAUUAAAGACUUUUUCAUUUAUAUUCA